CAGUCGCCGCGGGAAAACGAAGGGGGCUAGCGUUGUUCGGAAUUACUGGGCGUAAAGCGCACGUAGGCGGACAUUUAAGUCAGGGGUGAAAUCCCGGGGCUCAACCCCGGAACUGCCUUUGAUACUGGGUGUCUAGAGUAUGGAAGAGGUGAGUGGAAUUCCGAGUGUAGAGGUGAAAUUCGUAGAUAUUCGGAGGAACACCAGUGGCGAAGGCGGCUCACUGGUCCAUUACUGACGCUGAGGUGCGAAAGCGUGGGGAGCAAACAGGAUUAGAUACCCGUGUAGUCCCUGUCUCUUAUAC
This 301-nucleotide ribosomal RNA is filed under the name uncultured bacterium. Its description in RNAcentral is "partial 16S ribosomal RNA". It matches the Rfam family "Bacterial small subunit ribosomal RNA", at positions 509 to 807 of the family's 1533-position model. The record is from RNAcentral.